AGAGUUUGAUCCUGGCUCAGGACGAACGCUGGCGGCGUGCUUAAUACAUGCAAGUCGAACGAGAAAGUUUCCUUCGGGAAACGAGUAGAGUGGCGAACGGGUGAGUAACGCGUAGGUAAUCUGCCUUCGAGUCUGAGAUAACUCCGGGAAACUGGGGCUAAUACCGGAUGACGCAUCACAUUUGGGUUUGUGAUGUUAAAGGUGCUUUCGGGUGCCGCUUGAAGAUGAGCCUGCGACCUAUCAGCUUGUUGGUGGGGUAACGGCCUACCAAGGCGAAGACGGGUAGCUGGUCUGAGAGGAUGAUCAGUCACACUGGCACUGAGAUACGGGCCAGACUCCUACGGGAGGCAGCAGUAGGGAAUAUUGCGCAAUGGGCGAAAGCCUGACGCAGCGACGCCGCGUGAGUGAAGAAGGUCUUAUUGAUUGUAAAGCUCUGUAAGGAGGGAAGAACACCAGUGGCGAAGGCGGCUCACUGGGACAUAACUGACGCUGAGGCACGAAAGCGUGGGGAGCGAACGGGAUUAGAUACCCCGGUAGUCCACGCCGUGAACGAUGGAUACUAGAUGUCAGGUUAUUUAACAACUUGGUGUCGAAGCAAACGUGAUAAGUAUCCCGCCUGGGGAGUACGGUCGCAAGAUUAAAACUCAAAGGAAUUGACGGGGGCCCGCACAAGCGGUGGAGCAUGUGGUUUAAUUCGAUGCAACGCGCAGAACCUUACCCGGACUUGACAUCCUUCGGAAGUCGACCAGAGAUGGACGACGUCUCUUCGGAGACCGGAGUGACAGGUGCUGCAUGGCUGUCGUCAGCUCGUGUUGUGAAAUGUUGGGUUAAGUCCCGCAACGAGCGCAACCCUUGUCCUUAGUUGCCAUCAUUAAGUUGGGCACUCUAGGGAGACUGCCCGGGUUAACCGGGAGGAAGGUGGGGAUGACGUCAAGUCCUCAUGGCCCUUAUGUCCGGGGCUACACACGUGCUACAAUGGCGCAGACAGAGCGAAGCGAAGCGGCGACGUGAAGCAAAUCGCAGAAACUGCGUCUCAGUUCGGAUUGGAGUCUGCAACUCGACUCCAUGAAGUUGGAAUCGCUAGUAAUCGCGGAACAGCAUGCCGCGGUGAAUACGUUCCCGGGCCUUGUACACACCGCCCGUCACACCAUGGGAGUUGUUCUCACUGGACGACGUUGAGCUAGCCUUCGGGAGGCAGGCGUUAAUGGUGAGGAUAGCGACUGGGGUGAAGUCGUAACAAGGUA
RNAcentral lists this ribosomal RNA (1244 nucleotides) under metagenome. RNAcentral's name for it is "bacterial SSU rRNA". It matches the Rfam family "Bacterial small subunit ribosomal RNA". The record is from RNAcentral.